GCAAGUCGAGCGAUAUAGCGGCGAACGGGUGAGUAACACGUUGGAACCUACCUUGGACUCAGGGAUAGCCGCCGAAAGGGUGGAUUAAUACCGGAUAGUCCCGCAAGGGUAAAGCUUUUGCGGUCCAAGAGGGGCCUGCGCAGUAUCAGUUUGUUGGUGGGGUAAUGGCCUACCAAGACUUUGACGCUUAACUGGUCUGAGAGGAUGAUC
Molecule: ribosomal RNA, 210 nt
Filed under: uncultured bacterium
Lineage: Bacteria
Description: partial 16S ribosomal RNA
Rfam family: Bacterial small subunit ribosomal RNA
Source: RNAcentral